Molecule: long non-coding RNA, 1172 nt
Organism: Oncorhynchus tshawytscha (Chinook salmon)
Lineage: Eukaryota; Metazoa; Chordata; Actinopteri; Salmoniformes; Salmonidae
Exons: 2
Source: RefSeq, a predicted model, not a curated record
AAGGCGGCUCUCUGGCGGCUCUCUGCGCGCACAGGUGUUCACCACAGGUGGAUGGUGAGGAAAAGUGCGUCCUGUAAAACGAGUUCAGCUCUUCCCUGCCGUUAUUUGAGCUCAAUCACUCAUACAGCUUAGGUAUGGCUCACAACUGCGUGGGGAACUGUGCCCCGUUAUUUUUCCUAGCCAUUGCUUUUGACGUCUGCGGUUUGAUAGUUAUUUUAGUUGGUAUUUUCGCCGAUCUAAAGUUGGACGGUCACUUCUACGGUGAUUUCCUCAUCUACACGGGUGCACUCAUCAUUUUCCUCAGUCUGGCUUGGUGGAUUUUGUGGUACACGGGCAACAUAAAGGUUUACUCCGAGGACUUUGAUAAAAGCACCCUGGACAAUUUUGCGCACUGGGCAAGAAAGUUUUCGGAAAGGCUCUCGAAGAGCAAGAUUAAAACUCUGGAAGCUGGGGAGAAGUGCAAGUGGAAUGGAAAGGAAUCAGUGAACGCAACGGUUCCUGAUCAAACUCUAUCACGAAUUACGUGUGAACACAGCAGCAGCCUGACGGGACACGACAAUCUAGGAUAUGACCGAAGUUUUGACCACCAGCCUACAGAGAAAACGGUGGAGUUGGGGAUUCUGAAUAAUUCUGAGGUGUUGCAGAGCAUUAUGGAUGGAAAAGUGGUUAGGCUUCUCUGACACACAGUUGGUAAUCUCUGGUUCUCCGGUUUUGAAGAAAGUAUGCCUCGCUCCUCCCCAAGAGCUGCUUUUUAAAUCCAUACAAGACUGUAAACCUUUUCGCCUAUAUGAACUAAAGACACUUUAAAUAUAGAAGACUACUUUCAUUCAGGGAGAGGCCCCGCGCUGAAGCAAUCUCCGGGCCCUGCACAAAGGAUAGAAAUGUCUGUGAAUUUUACUUGUAAAUGGAUAAAUAACUAGAUUAUUUUAUGUCCUGAAUUUUACAUGGUCUGUUUUGAAGAUGUUUUUUUUUUAGAAAAUAAUAACGCCAUUUCUCUGGGUUCUUAAUCAGACAUCUGUGACUGGAUAGCCCACACAACAACAAAGAUAUUGGAUUCCACUUCUGCUGGAAGUAGGUGUUAUUCAGACAAAUUGAGGUUCCAGAAAGAGAGAAUUAAUUAGAUAAUUAUAAUAUUCAAAAUCCAUUUGAGGGACAUAAACAAAUCAAAACAA